RNAcentral lists this ribosomal RNA (443 nucleotides) under uncultured bacterium. RNAcentral describes it as "partial 16S ribosomal RNA". It matches the Rfam family "Bacterial small subunit ribosomal RNA", at positions 338 to 795 of the family's 1533-position model. The record is from RNAcentral.
CCUACGGGCGGCAGCAGUGGGGAAUAUUGGGCAAUGGGCGCAAGCCUGACCCAGCAACGCCGCGUGAAGGAAGAAGGCUUUCGGGUUGUAAACUUCUUUUCUCAGGGACGAAGCAAGUGACGGUACCUGAGGAAUAAGCCACGGCUAACUACGUGCCAGCAGCCGCGGUAAUACGUAGGUGGCAAGCGUUAUCCGGAUUUACUGGGUGUAAAGGGCGUGUAGGCGGGAAAGCAAGUCAGAUGUGAAAACCAUGGGCUCAACCUGUGGCCUGCAUUUGAAACUGUUUUUCUUGAGUACUGGAGAGGCAGACGGAAUUCCUAGUGUAGCGGUGAAAUGCGUAGAUAUUAGGAGGAACACCAGAGGCGAAGGCGAUUAACUGGACCGUAACUGACGCUGAGGCACGAAAGUGUGGGUAUCAAACAGGAUUAGAUACCCGUGUAGUC